Molecule: non-coding RNA, 85 nt
Organism: Felis catus (domestic cat)
Lineage: Eukaryota; Metazoa; Chordata; Mammalia; Carnivora; Felidae
Source: Rfam
GCCUGGGUGGCUCAGUCGGUUAAGCCUCUGACUUCAGCUCAGGUCACGAUCUCACGGUCCGUGAGUUCGAGCCCCGCGUCAGGCU